AUGUCCCCAUGAGUUCCCUUUAACGCUUCAUUGUUAAUAUUCAAAUUACAUCUAUUUCGUCCUUAAAUGUUUGAUCGAUUUGUAUAUAACACUGAAGUGUUUGGGGGGACUCUUGGUGUCAU
RNAcentral lists this microRNA precursor (122 nucleotides) under Arabidopsis thaliana x Arabidopsis arenosa. Its description in RNAcentral is "mir-395". It matches the Rfam family "mir-395 microRNA precursor family". From Rfam's summary of the family: mir-395 was identified in both Arabidopsis thaliana and Oryza sativa computationally and was later experimentally verified. mir-395 is thought to target mRNAs coding for ATP sulphurylases. The mature sequence is excised from the 3' arm of the hairpin. The record is from RNAcentral. Lineage: Eukaryota; Viridiplantae; Streptophyta; Magnoliopsida; Brassicales; Brassicaceae.